This 475-nucleotide ribosomal RNA is filed under the name uncultured organism. RNAcentral's name for it is "partial 16S ribosomal RNA". It matches the Rfam family "Bacterial small subunit ribosomal RNA", at positions 333 to 799 of the family's 1533-position model. The record is from RNAcentral.
ACACUCCUGCGGGAGGCAGCAGUGGGGAAUUUUGGACAAUGGGCGAAAGCCUGAUCCAGCAAUGCCGCGUGAGUGAAGAAGGCCUUCGGGUUGUAAAGCUCUUUUGUCAGGGAAGAAACGGUGAGAGCUAAUAUCUUUUGCUAAUGACGGUACCUGAAGAAUAAGCACCGGCUAACUACGUGCCAGCAGCCGCGGUAAUACGUAGGGUGCAAGCGUUAAUCGGAAUUACUGGGCGUAAAGCGUGCGCAGGCGGUUUUGUAAGUCUGAUGUGAAAUCCCCGGGCUCAACCUGGGAAUUGCAUUGGAGACUGCAAGGCUAGAAUCUGGCAGAGGGGGGUAGAAUUCCACGUGUAGCAGUGAAAUGCGUAGAUAUGUGGAGGAACACCGAUGGCGAAGGCAGCCCCCUGGGUCAAGAUUGACGCUCAUGCACGAAAGCGUGGGGAGCAAACAGGAUUAGAUACCCGUGUAGUCCCAUG